Molecule: non-coding RNA, 50 nt
Organism: Schistosoma mansoni
Lineage: Eukaryota; Metazoa; Platyhelminthes; Trematoda; Strigeidida; Schistosomatidae
Source: Rfam
AUCCAGCUGACGAGUCCCGAAUAGGACGAAACGCGUGUCCUGUCCUGGAU